Molecule: ribosomal RNA, 450 nt
Filed under: uncultured bacterium
Lineage: Bacteria
Description: bacterial SSU rRNA
Rfam family: Bacterial small subunit ribosomal RNA
Source: RNAcentral
AACGAACGCUGGCGGCAGGCCUAACACAUGCAAGUCGAGCGCCCAGCAAUGGGAGCGGCGGACGGGUGAGUAACGCGUGGGAAUUUUUCCUGGAGUACGGAACAACCGAGGGAAACUUCGGCUAAUACCGUAUGAUAUCGAGAGAUCAAAGAUUUAUCGCUCUGGGGUGAGCCCGCGUCAGAUUAGGUAGUUGGUGGGGUAACGGCCUACCAAGCCUGCGAUCUGUAGCUGGUCUGAGAGGACGAUCAGCCACACUGGGACUGAGACACGGCCCAGACUCCUACGGGAGGCAGCAGUGGGGAAUCUUGCGCAACGGGCGAAAGCCUGACGCAGCCAUGCCGCGUGAGUGAAGAAGGUCUUAGGAUUGUAAAGCUCUUUCGCUCGUGACGAUGAUGACGGUAACGAGAGAAGAAGCCCCGGGCUAAACUUCGUGCCAGCAGCCGCGGUAAU